UGGAAAAGGAUGUGGGAUUUCGAAGACAGCUAGGAUGUUGGCUUAGAAGCAGCCACACAUUCAAAGAGUGCGUAAUAGCUCACUAGUCGAGAGGUCCUGCGCCGAAAAUUAACGGGGCUAAAACAUGACACCGAAGCUUAGGGAUGUAGUAAUACAUCGGUAGAGGAGCAUUGAAAACGAGAUGAAGCGGUACCGAAAGGAGCCGUGGAUUGUUUUGAAGAGAGAAUGCCGGAAUGAGUAGCGAGAUGGAGGUGAGAAUCCUCCAGGCCGAAUAUCUAAGGUUUCCAGGGUAAAGCUGAUCUGCCCUGGGUAAGUCGGGGCCUAAGGCGAGGCUGAGAAGCGUAGUCGAUGGACAACUGGUGUAGAUUCCAGUACCUUACUAAAUCAGAAAUGUGGGGACACAUGGAGAAAGAGAGAGCCGGGAAUGAGAAGACCGGUGCAAGGGAGGUAGGAGUGUAGUAGGAAAAACCGCUACACAAUCUGAAGACCUGAUGCGGAUCGAAAAGAAGUAGAGAAGCUCUUGGACUCUGUGGCGAGAAAAGCCGCUAUUGUGUUUAGUAAGCCCGUACCGCAAACCGACACAGGUAGAUGAGGAGAGAAUCCUAAGGCCGGCGGGAGAAGCAUUGUUAAGGAACUCGGCAAAAUGACCCCGUAACUUCGGGAGAAGGGGUGCCACUGGAAACAGUGGUCGCAGAAAAAAGGCUCAAGCAACUGUUUAGCAAAAACACAGGUCUAUGCGAAACCGUAAGGUGAGGUAUAUGGGCUGACGCCUGCCCGGUGCUGGAAGGUUAAGAGGAGAGGUUAGCGCAAGCGAAGCUUUGAAUUGAAGCCCCAGUAAACGGCGGCCGUAACUAUAACGGUCCUAAGGUAGCGAAAUUCCUUGUCGGGUAAGUUCCGACCCGCACGAAAGGCGUAAUGAUUUGAGCGCUGUCUCAACAAUGCACCCGGUGAAAUUGAAGUACCAGUGAAGAUGCUGGUUACCCGCGCCAGGACGGAAAGACCCCAUGGAGCUUUACUCCAGCUUGAUACUGGGAUUCGGUAAUGUAUGCACAGGAUAGGUGGGAGACGAAGAAGAUAGUACUUCGGUAUUAUCAGAGUCGCUGUUGGGAUACCACCCUUAUGUUAUUGGAUUUCUAACCUUAGGCCGUAAGCCGGUCAAGGGACAAUGUCAGGUGGGGAGUUUGACUGGGGCGGUCGCCUCCGAAAGUGUAUCGGAGGCGCUCAAAGGUUCCCUCAGGAUGGUUGGAAACCAUCCAAAGAGUG
Molecule: ribosomal RNA, 1263 nt
Filed under: human metagenome
Description: bacterial LSU rRNA
Rfam family: Bacterial large subunit ribosomal RNA
Source: RNAcentral